UACGGAGGGUGCAAGCGUUAUCCGGAUUCACUGGGGUUAAAGGGUGCGUAGGUGGGUUGGUAAGUCAGUGGUGAAAUACUUUCGCUUAACGAAGGAACUGCCAUUGAUACUAUUUGUCUUGAAUAUCGUUGAGGUAGGCGGAAUAUGUCAUGUAGCGGUGAAAUGCAUAGAGAUGACAUAGAACACCAAUUGCGAAGGCAGCUUGCUAAACGAUGAUUGACGCUGAGGCACGAAAGCGUGGGGAUCAAACAGG
Molecule: ribosomal RNA, 253 nt
Filed under: uncultured bacterium
Lineage: Bacteria
Description: partial 16S ribosomal RNA
Rfam family: Bacterial small subunit ribosomal RNA
Source: RNAcentral